Cucumis melo (muskmelon) is the source of this 2843-nucleotide RNA transcript. It is a transcript of the gene named conserved oligomeric Golgi complex subunit 2, with no coding region annotated. The record is from RefSeq and is a predicted model, not a curated record. NCBI's taxonomy places the organism in Eukaryota, Viridiplantae, Streptophyta, Magnoliopsida, Cucurbitales, Cucurbitaceae. The transcript is spliced from 13 exons.
CGUAUUCUUGGUAAAGAAGUCAAUUUUCUAUCCUCCUAAGAAAAAGGAUGAUUCUGUAGCUGUAGUGACGGUAGUUGACGGUUUAAAUUCCAGUCUCCUGCAUGAGCAAAUCUUCUAUCUGCUUCAAAUUUUGGUAUAUUGAUCUGUGAUCUCAAUCUGACAUCUCCAUUUUCAUUGUUCAGAGUUCUUCGGAGAUUGUUCCGAAGGUUUGCCACUAUUUGAAGCGACCGGACAACUACUAGGAAAACCAAAUACCAUGGCGGAUCUGAUUCCACCACCACACAGAUCGGCCAACGACCUCUUUUCCGAUCCACUUGAUUCUCAUCCUCUCUGGUUCAAGCCUAACCUAUUCCUCUCCCCCAAUUUUGAUUCCGAGUCCUACAUUUCUGAGCUUCGAACAUUUGUCCCAUUUGACACCCUCCGAUCUCAGCUCCACUCUCAUCUUUCCGCUCUCAACCGUGAGCUCAUUGAUUUGAUCAAUCGUGACUAUACCGAUUUUGUAAACCUGAGCACAAAGCUUGUCGAUGUGGAAGCGGCAGUCGUGCGAAUGCGAGCUCCUUUGGUUGAACUCAGGGAGAAAAUUGAGCAAUUCAGGGCUUCCGUCGAGUUCUCUCUCUCAGCUUUGCAAAAUGGAUUGCGGCAGAGAUCAGAGGCAGCAUCAGCCAGAGAGGUCUUGGAAUUGUUGCUUGAUACAUUUCACGUCGUGUCGAAGGUUGAAAAACUAAUCAAGGAGCUUCCAAGUGCUCCUGCUGAUGGCUCAAAUGGAACUACGAAUUUAACAGAUAAUAGUGGAUUAAGUAAUGGUGCUUCUUUACCACACAUGGAGAACGGAACAAAUCUUAGGGAAACACAAAGCAUGCUCUUGGAAAGAAUUUCCAGUGAAAUGAACCGGCUAAAAUUUUACAUUGCUCAUGCACAGAAUCUUCCCUUCAUUCAAAAUAUGGACAAGAGGAUUCAGAGUGCCAGCCUUUUGUUGGACACAAGCUUGGGACAUUGUUUUGUUGAUGGACUUGCACAUCACGAUGAAAAUGCUAUUUACAACUGCCUACGUGCCUAUGCUGCUAUAGAUAACACCACAAGUGCAGAGGAAAUUUUUCGCAGUACUGUUGUAUCACCAGCAAUUCAUAAAGUUAUUCCUCAUAAAGUUUCUGGCAUGGACGCUGGAUCAUCUGAUGAUGAUUUGGAGAAUGAUUACAAGCAAAUGAAGCAAUAUAUUGAUAAAGACUGCAAGUUUUUGUUAGAAAUAUCUGCUACAGAAAACUCAGGACUACAUGUAUUUGAUUUCUUGGCUAAUUCAAUCCUGAAAGAGGUUCUCUCUGCUAUCCAAAAGGCAAAACCAGGUGCAUUUUCCCCAGGGAGACCUACUGAAUUCUUGAAGAACUACAAGUCGAGCCUUGAUUUCUUGGCAUACUUGGAAGGCUAUUGUCCAUCCAGAUCUGCUGUUGCUAAAUUUCGAGCAGCAUCUGUAUAUAAUGAGUUCAUGAAGCAAUGGAAUAUCGGUGUUUAUUUUUCUCUGAGGCUUCAGGAAAUAGCUGGAGCUUUGGAUUCGUCACUGUCAGCACCUAUUCUAACCCCUGUACAAACUUCAUCUUCUGGCCGGGUAAACAAUGAGGAUCUAACGUUAAAGCAGAGUGUAACGCUUUUAGACUGCCUGACAGCAUGCUGGAGAGAUGAUGUUCUCGUCCUUUCUUGUUCUGACAAGUUUCUUCGUCUAUCUUUGCAGCUCCUUUCAAGAUACUCUAACUGGUUGUCAUCUGGUCUAGCUGCCCGUAACACGGGUACAGGCUCCCAUCCAGGUUCUGAAUGGGCUGUAGCAGCUACCCCCGAUGAUUUAAUAUAUAUAAUCCAUGACCUUGGUUAUCUAUCCACGGUCGUAACUGGUAACUUCUUGGAAACUAUACUUCAGCUCCUAUCGUCAUGCACCGUAGAUGUUCUUGAUUCAGUAAAGCAGAGCAUUUUACACGGUGGAAAAUCAUUGUAUAAUUUAAUGCCCAAAGUUAUUGGUGCCAUAGUUGCUUCACUGGUUGAGAAGUCUGUUGAGGACUUGAGACAGCUGAAGGGUAUUACAGCAACAUACAGGAUGACCAAUAAACCACUACCUGUAAGGCAUUCACCCUAUGUAUCAGGGUUGCUACGCCCUCUGAAGGUGUUAUUGGAUGGAGACAGGGCAUCUACUUUUUUGACAAUGGAAACAAGGACUGCACUGUUGACCGAUGCUGUGACUGAGAUUACUUCACGUUAUUAUGAGCAAGCAGCUGAUCUUGUUAGCUUGGCCAGGAAAACAGAUUCGUCACUCCAGAAAAUUCGGCAGGGAGUACAAAGACGAGCUGGAGCAAGCUCAGAUGUUUCAGACCAUAACAUUUCCGACACUGACAAGAUUUGCAUGCAACUCUUUCUCGAUAUUCAGGAGUAUGGUCGCAACCUUUCAUCCCUAGGGGUUGAAGCAGCGAGUAUUCCAACAUACCUCUCAUUUUGGCACUUGGUUGCUCCUUCAGACAAGCAAAGCUCCAUUAGUUUCUGAUGUUCUAUCAUCGGAAUAAGCAUACGUUUGGCUUUGUGGCUGUAUUUCUUUUUCUCUCUAAAUUGGUGAUGGUGUUCAUAAUGGGAAUCAAAAUUUUGUAGAUUCAACAACGAAGCUUCCAUGGGAUCUGGUUUGGUAGAAAGAUUUAUUGAUAAAUAUGUUAGAAGUUAUUAUUCUGUCUUUACUGUCACAUUUUAUUUUAUUUUUGUUUUUUCUUAAUAAAUAAAUUUUUAUACUAUAAAUAUUUCAGUAGGGAUGAAAUUCUAAUUUGUCUGAGCUAUGUUUAGGUUAAUUUCAUCUUGAUUUUUGUUAGUGUUAUAAA